UGCGUGACGGGUGAGUAACACGUGAGUAACCUGCCCUUGACUCUGUGGAUAAGCCUGGGAAGACUGGGUCUAAUACCGGAUAUGACCAUUCCACGCAUGUGGUGGUGGUGGAAAGCUUUUGUGGUUUUGGAUGGACUCGCGGCCUAUCAGCUUGUUGGUGGGGUAAUGGCCCUACCAAGGCGACGACGGGUAGCCGGCCUGAGAGGGUGACCGGCCACACAUGUGGAUCUGAGACACGGCCCAGACUCCAUUACGUGGAGGCAGCAGUGGGGGAUAUAUUGCACACAUGGGCGGCAAGCCUGAUGCAGCGACGCCGCGUGAGGGAUGUACGGCCUUCGGGUUGUAAACCUCUUUCAAGUGAGGAGAAGAAGCGACAAGUGACGGUUACCUGCAGAAGAAGUCGCCG
RNAcentral lists this ribosomal RNA (406 nucleotides) under uncultured bacterium. RNAcentral's name for it is "bacterial SSU rRNA". It matches the Rfam family "Bacterial small subunit ribosomal RNA", at positions 96 to 496 of the family's 1533-position model. The record is from RNAcentral.